Long non-coding RNA from Acanthopagrus latus (yellowfin seabream), 465 nucleotides. RefSeq lists it as uncharacterized. The transcript has 2 exons. Lineage: Eukaryota; Metazoa; Chordata; Actinopteri; Spariformes; Sparidae. The record is from RefSeq and is a predicted model, not a curated record.
GUCGGCCAUGACGGCCUGACAGUGAGUCAGCGUGAACACAAGGAGCGAUCAUUAACCUGAUUAUUUUUAUUAUUAUUCACACCUGUGUGUCUCCUACUGUGACAUGUCAACAUGUCUUCAGUGUAAAAGGCUGUUUAUCAGGGCACAUGGUGGAUAACAACUACGAUCUGAGGCUGAGAAGCUGCAGACUCGCUCUCGACGCCACUGAGCACUUAAUUCGUCGUACAGUUAAAAAAAUAUAAAGAAUAUAAAAGAAGACAAGAUCGGACGGUGGAAAUAGUUCAAGGGAAAACUUCAAUUGGAGUUUUUUAAUUCCUCUCCUGCCUGCUCGAAAAUGAACCUCUCAUCUGUGUUCCUGCAGUAGAACUGCACUUCUGCUGCCACUUUGAAUGUCACCCUGCGCUCCAAAUGUCAGCUUAUCAAAAUUCGUAUUUCCUUUACUUUUAAUAAAAAAAAGAAUAUGUA